AAUGUUAUUAUAUAUGCCAUAAAUCUAUGCAUGCAUAAUUAAAAAUUGGCUUAUUCCUGUAAAGAAGGGGUGUGGCAGGGUAACAGCAGCUCAACUAUUUUUCAGGGCAAGUGAUGUCAUUGAGAGCCCACAUUCUAUUUCCACCAAACAGGGCUGGAAGACAUGACAUUCUGCCCUGGUCCUGAAAUGGACACCAAGCUCUUCUAUGUGGCCUUCAGCCUCAUGUGGGCAGGACACAUGGAGGCUACAAUCACUCAAAGUCCAAGAUACAAAGUCACAGAGACGGGAGGAAAGGUGACUUUGAGCUGCCACCAGACAGACAAUCAUGACUGUAUGUACUGGUAUCGACAAAACCCUGGACAUGGACUGAAGCUGAUCCAUUAUUCAUUUGCUGUGAACAGCACUGAAAAAGGAGACGUCCCUGAUGGUUACAGUGUCUCCAGAUUAAAGAAAAAGGACUUCCCCCUCUCUCUUGAGUCUGCCACCCACUCCCAGACAUCUGUGUACUUUUGUGCCAGCAGUUUCUCCACAGUGUUGCAAAGCUGCCUCUUCUGUGUGCAUGUAUUGUAA
Castor canadensis (American beaver) is the source of this 570-nucleotide non-coding RNA. The record is from the annotation of a RefSeq genome assembly. Lineage: Eukaryota; Metazoa; Chordata; Mammalia; Rodentia; Castoridae.